This 238-nucleotide ribosomal RNA is filed under the name uncultured bacterium. RNAcentral's name for it is "partial 16S ribosomal RNA". It matches the Rfam family "Bacterial small subunit ribosomal RNA", at positions 96 to 334 of the family's 1533-position model. The record is from RNAcentral.
CGGCGGACGGGUGAGUAACGCGUGGGUAACCUGCCUCAUACAGGGGGAUAACAGUUAGAAAUGACUGCUAAUACCGCAUAAGACCACGGUACCGCAUGGUACAGUGGUAAAAACUCCGGUGGUACGAGAUGGACCCGCGUCUGAUUAGGUAGUUGGUGGGGUAACGGCCUACCAAGCCGACGAUCAGUAGCCGACCUGAGAGGGUGACCGGCCACAUUGGGACUGAGACACGGCCCAG